This 403-nucleotide ribosomal RNA is filed under the name uncultured bacterium. RNAcentral describes it as "bacterial SSU rRNA". It matches the Rfam family "Bacterial small subunit ribosomal RNA", at positions 355 to 774 of the family's 1533-position model. The record is from RNAcentral.
UAGGGAAUAUUGCAAAAUGGGCGAAAGCCCGAUGCAGCAACGCCGCGUGAGCGAUGAAGGCCUUCGGGUCGUAAAGCCCUUUUUGAGGGGAUGAGGAAGGACAGUACACUCAGAAUAAGCCUCGGCUAACUACGUGCCAGCAGCCGCGGUAAAACGUAGGAGGCGAGCGUUAUCCGGAUUUACUGGGCGUAAAGCGCGUGCAGGCGGAUUGGAGAGUUGGAUGUGAAAGCUCCCGGCUUAACUGGGAGAGGUCGUUCAAUACUUCCAGUCUUGAGUGCAGUAGAGGGAAGUGGAAUUCCGUGUGUAGUGGUGAAAUGCGUAGAUAUCCGGAGGAACACCAGUGGCGAAAGCGGCUUCCUGGACUGUAACUGACGCUCAGACGCGAAAGCUAGGGUAGCAAACG